AACGAACGCUGGCGGCAUGCCUAACACAUGCAAGUCGAACGAGACCUUCGGGUCUAGUGGCGCACGGGUGCGUAACGCGUGGGAACCUGCCCUUAGGUUCGGCAUAACUCCCCGGGAGGGGUGCUAAUACCGGAUAAUGUCUUCGGACCUAAGAUUUAUCGCCUUUGGAUGGGCCCGCGUUGGAUUAGCUAGUUGGUAGGGUAAAAGCCUACCAAGGCGACGAUCCAUAGCUGGUCGGAGAGCAUGAUCAGCCACACUGGGACUGAGACACGGCCCAGACUCCUACGGGGGGCAGCAGUGGGGAAUAUUGGAGAAUGGGCGAAAGCGUGAUCAAGCAAUGCCGCGUGAGUGAUGAAGGCCUUAGGGUUGUAAAUCUCUCUUACCCGGGAUGAUAAUGACAGUACCGGGAGAAAAAGCUCCGGCUAACUCCGUG
Molecule: ribosomal RNA, 433 nt
Filed under: uncultured bacterium
Lineage: Bacteria
Description: partial 16S ribosomal RNA
Rfam family: Bacterial small subunit ribosomal RNA
Source: RNAcentral